This 1294-nucleotide ribosomal RNA is filed under the name uncultured archaeon. Its description in RNAcentral is "bacterial SSU rRNA". It matches the Rfam family "Archaeal small subunit ribosomal RNA", at positions 1 to 1301 of the family's 1478-position model. The record is from RNAcentral.
UUCCGGUUGAUCCUGCCGGACCUGACUGCUAUCGGAUUGAUACUAAGCCAUGCGAGUCAUUGUAGUAAUACAAGGCAGACGGGUCAGUAACGCGUAGUCAACCUACCUUAUGGACGGGGAUAACCUCGGGAAACUGAGAAUAAUACCCGAUAGAACAUAAUGCCUGGAAUGGUUUAUGUUUCAAAUAAUUUAUUGCCGUAAGAUGGGACUGCGGCCUAUCAGUUUGUUGGUGAGGUAAUGGCCCACCAAGACUAUUACAGGUACGGGCUCUGAGAGGAGUAGCCCGGAGAUGGACUCUGAGACACGAAUCCAGGCCCUACGGGGUGCAGCAGGCGCGAACACUUUACAAUGCGGGAAACCGCGAUAAGGGAACCCCGAGUGCCAGCAUCAAAUGUUGGCUGUCCAGAUGAUUAAAAAUCAUUUGUUAGCAAGGGCCGGGCAAGACCGGUGCCAGCCGCCGCGGUAACACCGGCGGCCCGAGUGGUAGCCGUUUUUAUUGGGUCUAAAGGGUCCGUAGCCGGCUUGAUAAGUCUUUUGGGAAAUCUGGCAGCUUAACUGUCAGGCUUCUAAGGGAUACUGUCAGGCUUGGGACCGGAAGAGGUAAGGGGUACUCCAGGGGUAGGAGUGAAAUCUUGUAAUCCCUGGGGGACCAUCUGUGGCGAAGGCGCCUUACCAGAACGGGUCCGACGGUGAGGGACGAAAGCUAGGGGAGCAAACCGGAUUAGAUACCCGGGUAGUCCUAGCUGUAAACGAUGCUCGCUAGGUGUCAGACACGGUGCGACCGUGUUUGGUGCCGCAGGGAAGCCGUUAAGCGAGCCACCUGGGAAGUACGGUCGCAAGGCUGAAACUUAAAGGAAUUGGCGGGGGAGCACUACAACGGGUGGAGCCUGCGGUUUAAUUGGAUUCAACGCCGGAAAACUCACCGGGUGCGACAGCAACAUGUAGGUCAGGCCGAAGGUCUUACCUGAAUCGCUGAGAGGAGGUGCAUGGCCGUCGUCAGUUCGUACUGUGAAGCAUCCUGUUAAGUCAGGCAACGAGCGAGACCCGCGCCCACAGUUGCCAGCAUGUUCUCAGGAACGAUGGGUACACUGUGGGGACCGCCGCUGCUAAAGCGGAGGAAGGAACGGGCUACGGUAGGUCAGUAUGCCCCGAAUCUCCCGGGCUACACGCGGGCUACAAUGGUUGGGACAAUGGGCACCUACCCUGAAAAGGGAUGGUAAUCUCCGAAACCCAACCGUAAUUCGGAUUGAGGGCUGUAACUCGCCCUCAUGAAGCUGGAACGGGCGGUGUGUGC